RNAcentral lists this ribosomal RNA (419 nucleotides) under uncultured bacterium. Its description in RNAcentral is "bacterial SSU rRNA". It matches the Rfam family "Bacterial small subunit ribosomal RNA", at positions 355 to 771 of the family's 1533-position model. The record is from RNAcentral.
UGAGGAAUAUUGGUCAAUGGGUGCAAGCCUGAACCAGCCAUCCCGCGUGAAGGACGACUGCCCUAUGGGUUGUAAACUUCUUUUGUAUAGGGAUAAACCUACCCUCGUGAGGGUAGCUGAAGGUACUAUACGAAUAAGCACCGGCUAACUACGUGCCAGCAGCCGCGGUAAUACGUAGGGAGCAAGCGUUGUUCGGAUUUACUGGGCGUAAAGGGCGCGUAGGCGGCGCGGUAAGUCACUUGUGAAAUCUCUGAGCUUAACUCAGAACGGCCAAGUGAUACUGCUGGGCUAGAGUGCGGAAGAGGCAACCGGAAUUCUUGGUGUGGCGGUGAAAUGCGUAGAUAUCAAGAGGAACACCUGAGGCGAAGGCGGGUUGCUGGGCCGACACUGACGCUGAUGCGCGAAAGCCAGGGGAGCAA